UUAUUGGAGAGUUUGAUCCUGGCUCAGGACGAACGCUGGCGGCGUGCCUAAUACAUGCAAGUCGAGCGAAUCUGAGGGAGCUUGCUCCCGAAGAUUAGCGG
This is a non-coding RNA of Bacillus sp. SA1-12, 101 nucleotides long. The record is from Rfam. NCBI's taxonomy places the organism in Bacteria, Bacillati, Bacillota, Bacilli, Caryophanales, Bacillaceae.